CGUGCAACGCACGUCUCAAUCGACAUCAAAUAAUUGUUAAUAAAUAGUUGUCUAAUAUUUACAUAGUUUUUCAUCCGUACAUAUCUUUAUUACUGAUUUAUAAUGUUUUUCGGAUGGAAGCAAAACUAAAUUACGGAUAAAUAAAGAAUGUGCAAAUUAGUUCAAGAUCAAUAAAUUUAUGUAACUUAUGUUGCUAGUACGGACACCCUAGUAGUCACUUAUUUGCUACUAUUUCUUAGCCAUAUCAUCCUGAUUCUACCCUUUGUCCCAUCAUAGAAAUUGACACAUCACACAUGGCUGCAACAGUCUCAACGUGAUGAAGAGCCAAAUCAGUUUCCUCCUCCGUCUUACACAUGACCUUGCUUCCUGUCAUGUCACAAAAGAAGAAAACAGUCCCUUUCUCUGUAAGAUUGAACAGAGUCAAGCCAUAAAAGAAAAUGGACAAGCUGAUUUUUUCAUCAUGAAAUUUUGUGUUUUGAAAUAGUUACUAAAUAUGUAAUGUUUAGUCCAGCAGCCAAAUGGUUAUACCCCAGAGUUGUUUACAUCAUUGCUUCACUCAUGGUUCAGUGCCAUGAUGGCAUAAAAGAUAUCUUAGAAAAAGCCGGAUACAUAGUAAUGCCUAAUUAACAGAUGGUCAAAGCAAUUAUCAAAAAACAUGAAGAGCAGGUUAACCAUUGUUACAUCCCAAAUCUAUGAGAACAUCUGUAAAUAAUUAUCUGUAAUGGGGUGUUUAGAGUACACCUGCUUUGGUUGUACUGGGGUGUGGUCGAGAGUGGAUGUUCGCAUCCAUUUCGAGGCUUCUUGUACAUUGUAUUUUCUCUCUUUUAUAAAAGUAUGCCUUUGGCGUACUCUCAAAAAAAAAGAAUAUCUGUAAAUUGUAGAAGAAAAUGGCGCAGUUAUGAAAAGAAAACAAAGCUUUAACCUUGGUGUAGUAAAAACUAAAAGGUAACUUAUCCCUACAGUCUAAUAACAGAACAACACAUGAGUAAACAACUUGCUGUUUUCUGUAAAGGGUGAAUUUCAUUGGCAGCAUGUCUGAACUAUCAUAAUAAAAUUAGUCAGGCCUCCUAAAUUUUGUUACUCAAGAAACUAUCUGCAGGUCCCUGAAAUUUUGCUAUGCAUUUUUGGAAGAGAAGAGCACCAUUUCAAAUUCACAAUACUGCGUGAUAGUUUGUUUCUCGAGCCUAAACAAAAGCAAAACUUCCUCUAGACACUUGCUUAAUGUAAGAGCGGAACAAACUUUCAUAAUUUCAAACUGAAGAUUUCAAAGUCAUACACAUGGCAGAUAAUUCAUACUUUAGGAGGAAAUUAGUUUGCCUCCAAAUCCAACAGCAAUCAACAAAAAUACACAUGGAAAAUGGCAUUUAAUAGUACACUGUAAACAGAACACUGAAUGGAUAAUGAUACUAAAAUGUGUUUACAAAGGUCAACAGAAUACAGAUCUUACCAACGAACAAAGAUGAAGUGAUGAACUGACCGGUUUCAGUGAAGUGGCUAAUGUCAUGACCUCGGUUUUCUGCUGAAGCAACUCAUUUUCUCUUUCAGAUAGCUGAACUGCUAAAAUACCCACCUAUGGAAAGUACCAAAAUAUUGAAGUGUUUACAAACAAAGAGAUCAUUUAGGCAUGUAUAUAUAUGUAGGUCGACUGGUGGAGACUUCUUUGAAUAAAAACUCAC
This 1676-nucleotide long non-coding RNA is filed under the name Triticum aestivum (bread wheat). RNAcentral's name for it is "long non-coding RNA (TAES_LNC022277)". Lineage: Eukaryota; Viridiplantae; Streptophyta; Magnoliopsida; Poales; Poaceae. The record is from RNAcentral.